This 307-nucleotide long non-coding RNA is filed under the name Homo sapiens (human). RNAcentral describes it as "HSALNT0226922". The record is from RNAcentral. Lineage: Eukaryota; Metazoa; Chordata; Mammalia; Primates; Hominidae.
GGUUGCCCCCGACACUAGCUGGAUGUAGCAAUGAUGCGAAGGAGAAGGAAUUUCUGAAGAUCAGGUUCUCACCUGUGGAAUGAAAGACCUGCAGUUGGUGGUGUGGGUUCUCCUGGGGCUGGGGGAAGGGAAGGGAGUCUCAGUAGAGCCCUUUUUUAUGCAGAACAGAGGCGAUUUAGAACCACUUGAAUGACGCAGGGUUUGGAGUGCUACUCUUGGUACUCCUUCCCUCUCACCCUGUCAUUUUGGAUAUCAGCUGAUUAGGCCUCUGUGCAGUUUAGCGUCAUUCCCAAAAGCAGAGGCUGGG